AACAUAUGUGUGGAUACCAUGGCCUUGAGAUCAUUGAUGCAUGUGCGUCCGAAGAUGACAUUGUAUGCCGUUGGGCAAUCAACCACCAGGAAGUUAGUGGUAAUGGUAGCUGUGUAAGGGCCUGUACCAAUGGUGAAAGGUAAGUGUAUGCUCUCCAAAGGUUGCACGAUAUCACCGGAGAAGCUUAUCAGAGGGGAAAUCGAGCGAUCGAGCAAGUGUUCAGCUACA
Molecule: long non-coding RNA, 228 nt
Filed under: Malus domestica (apple)
Lineage: Eukaryota; Viridiplantae; Streptophyta; Magnoliopsida; Rosales; Rosaceae
Description: long non-coding RNA (MDOM_LNC009322)
Source: RNAcentral